GAUGAACGCUGGCGGCGUGCCUAACACAUGCAAGUCGAGCGAUCUUCUUCGGAAGAGAGCGGCGGACGGGUGAGUAACGCAUGGGUAACCUGCCCUGUACACACGGAUAACAUACCGAAAGGUAUGCUAAUACGGGAUAAUAUAUGAGAGUCACAUGACUUUUAUAUCAAAGUUUUUGCGGUACAGGAUGGACCCGCGUCUGAUUAGCUAGUUGGUAAGGUAACGGCUUACCAAGGCGACGAUCAGUAGCCGACCUGAGAGGGUGAUCGGCCACCCUGGAACUGAGACAAGGUCCAGACUCCUACGGGAGGCAGCAGUGGGGAAUAUUGCACAAUGGGCGAAAGCCUGAUGCAGCAACGCCGCGUGAGCGAUGAAGGCCUUCGGGUCGUAAAGCUCUGUCCUCAAGGAAGAUAAUGACGGUACUUGAGGAGGAAGCCCCGGCUAACUACGUGCCAGCCGCCGCCGUAA
This 468-nucleotide ribosomal RNA is filed under the name uncultured bacterium. RNAcentral describes it as "partial 16S ribosomal RNA". It matches the Rfam family "Bacterial small subunit ribosomal RNA", at positions 28 to 523 of the family's 1533-position model. The record is from RNAcentral.